Long non-coding RNA from Cephus cinctus (wheat stem sawfly), 5903 nucleotides. RefSeq lists it as uncharacterized. The transcript has 7 exons. The record is from RefSeq and is a predicted model, not a curated record. NCBI's taxonomy places the organism in Eukaryota, Metazoa, Arthropoda, Insecta, Hymenoptera, Cephidae.
AAAGCCCCCUCUACGUCGUCCGCGGCUCUUUCACUCUCUGCACAACAUGAAGACCCCUUCCUUGACGCUUCUAUGUCAUUUCUCUCUCUCUCUCUCCCCCUUUCUCUCUCUCACUCUCUCAUCUUGUCUCUUGCUAUAGUAUUUAUAGUAUAUAGUACAUAGAGGCUGGUACAUACUAGCAUGUACAAUGGGAAGGAUAUCCUGAGCUGUAUGUAGCUACAGGCGAUAACCCAUUACCCUGAAGUACUUGAAAACGAUCGUGUGACCUAUAGCUAAGAAUGUUACACAAUGACAACCGAUAGGAGAGGGAUAGACAAUCGAAUUGCAUGCUGGGAACUCGUCUACUUGGUAAAAUCUCGAUAAAUUCAAAGCAAAAUUAGAAUACAUCUUUUUUUCCUGUCUGGUGUGAUGUAAUCGGUACUCCUUCACACGGCUUUACGAUUUUAUUACGAUAUUGACGCCCUCCACUGCUACGAAUAUCUACUACAGGACCUGGAGUGCUCUUCGGUCAGACGAAUAUCGACUGUGCUGCUGCUGCUGCUCGUUGCUCGUUGCUCAGCUCGCUUCCACGAGCUCUCGACUUUACGAUGUUUGCCAAGUUCAUGGAGCGAAGACGAGGAGGCUGAGUUACUCUUGCGUAAAUGUUGUUAAAGUAUAAUGAAACUGAAUUCCUGGUACCGCUAAUCGGAUUGCAAUCUGACGGAGGUAUCUAAUGUGUAUGUGGUAUACGCUUGCGUCUAUGUUAAUCAACCUGGCGAUAUUACUCAAUCACCAUAUAAUUGAGAUAAUUGACGUGGAGGUACAAAGGGACUUGGUUACGUGGUUGGAUCGAAGAUUUUCCUCUCCAUUCUGCUGUCGCAGCAGGACUCUACGUGCUCUGGCAUUCUCUGACAUGCAGGGGGUUACGUACUGCACUCAACGUGAAAUGCAAGAUCAUAAGAAACAGCCUGUUAAUGAGCACUCCUAACAAAUUAUUCCAACUUCCGACAUGAACUUCUCCACUGGAAUGAACGGAACAAUGAAUAAUAAUUGGACGAAGCUGGGCAAUUUCGACCAACUCAACAUUGCAGACUAUGCACUUACACUUGAACCAGAUUGAAGAAUGAAAAAGGAAGGAGUCUAUCGACCCCGCGACAACAGUUUCCUCGCAAUAAACUCCAACAAAUCUUUCUACAGCCACCGGGAUAUUUCAAGAAUUCCUUGUAAUUUCCAUUCGACAUCAUAUCUGCAGUGCAUCCACUUUUCAUCGCCGUUCAUGGUCUUCUGCAUCCGUCUUGGAAAGUUACGCAAGCUCAACACUAUCUAGCUAAACCGAUUGCGAACCGGGCGCGCGAUAAAUAAGUCUCAGGCAGAGAAGUCAGGUCGUUACCUACUGUACAGUCUGAGUAUAUAUACUGCACGACAUUGAAUUGCUAAUUCAAAAGCAUGGGCCUUGCGAGGUAACCCACGUACAUACUAGCGCAUAGGGUACGACGCGCUCUGCUAUACGAAUCUUCAAAGUUUCGUACGGGUUCUGCAAGCAGGUAACUUCGCUACGAAUUUCUGCAUUGCGGAGACUUGAAUCGCCCUGCGAAAUCCUAGGUUAUACGAGCGCGUGCUUUACCGCUGCAAAUGACAUAAGUAAAAAAAUAAGAAAUCAUUACGAGUUACUGCAGCGUGAUAUUAGACGGUCUUGCAAAUGGACUUUGCGACAAUUUACAGUGUAGUAUGUUAUAGUGAAAAAAGUAGUAUUAGGUCGUGUAAUUUUAUUUUUUAUGCACAUUCAUACAUAUUGCCUCUUACGAAAUCUCUACCACUCACCGCUAGGAUAUUGAGUCUUGUGUUAUUGCCUUUUGAGAAUAACACCUAACGCUGCUGCCUCUUACUUUUUAAUAAUAACGAAAAUGAGAACAGUACUGUAGUUGGACAUUCACUAUUGAUGCGUUUACCAAGUACUAUCUAUGGUUUAUAUCCUAGGGAAACGACGAUGCAUAGUACGCAUAAUACGUGUCGUAUAUUUCUUAAUAGAUAACUUGGAUCAAGGCCAGUUCUCAAUGUUUCUAAGGAAUACCUUUCUUACGCCAAUAUGAUGGCAAUCAUGCCGCGGUGCAAUCUGCGCAAUAACGUCGCACUAUUAAUAAGAACUACGUUGCAUGGGAAAUGAUCGCGACGGCUUCUAUAUUUUUUUCCCCGUCGACGAGAUAGACAAUUGAGAUAAUAAAAAAAAGGUCGUAACAGUAAUAUUUCGAAAUUGCAUAAGAAACUCGAUUCUCACUGAGCGAUUCAAGCCGUGGACUUAAUGCGAUUCGCUUUUGGAUUAACGAAAUGAAUUAUUAAUCGCUAAAGGUAAACGGUGCCACAGGAAUAAAACGAAUCUGGUAUAAUCAGUAUAAUGCAUUAUGAAGCAAGUGAAUUCCGUGAUUCCUCUUGGCGGUAAAUUUGAACGAGUAAUUUUGCAAAAUUUUCAAUAUAUUUUUGCCGCUUUCAAAAAGUACUUUUAUAACGCGUGUUCUUGUACGGUAUUCUUUUGUAAAUAGACACUGACGUGUUAAACUAAUUGUCUGCGCAGAUUAUUGAAAAUUCAUAUUCGAGUCUAGCAAAAGUAUCUCGACCAAUGCAAGUCGAAGACUUGUGUUAACUUUUCAAUUAGAAUCCUAUUGAUUUCGCACGUUAUUAUUUUCAAAUCCGCGCGUUUCUGAGAGUCUUUAUCAAGGAAGGAAUCUACGAAGAAAGGAGGAAAACUUGUUUUGUAAGAAUGAAUGGGGGAGUUGGGAGAGACAAGGGUCAAAGGCAAUUGAAGGAGCGAUGCCUUAGGAAGAUUCAUAGAGAGGACACCAAUAGUAAUAACAAUAACGGUAAUAGGAGUAACAAUCAACCGCCAUAGAAAUAGCUCUUUGUGUCGGAAAACUGUAGUUAUAAAUGUAUAAAAUGAAAUGUCUUCAAUGGCAUCGUAUAUUACAGUUUAAAUAGCGCACUCGAGAUUUAAACGAACGCGAUUAUUCUCAAUUAUCAAAAGAAUUUUUAUGCAAUAUUUUAUACAAAAGACUACGGGUAUUAACAUUCUUUUCAAUUUGAGUUUCAACAAUAUUUUUAAACACUUCUCGCCAUUAACGUCGUAGCACGAAGUUUUCAUGUCAAAGCCUUAGCAGGGCUUUAUGCGUAUAUAUAUAUAUAUAUAUGUGCAACAAUCAUUAAACGAUCUUUAUAACUUCAGGGUGAAAGAGAUUCAUCGCGUUUUGAAUAACGUGUCACUCAUUUUCGUAAAUACGAGGGUAACACGCUGAUACGAAAAAAAAGCCAGCACGCAAUGCGAACAACCGCUACGAGUGAAAACAAAGAUAAAACAAAUAAGAUCCUACAUCAGUAAAAAAAAACGUUACAAAUCGUUGAGACCAAUGAGAUUUAAUAGCCAUAAUAAAAAUGUUAUUGCACUGGAAAUCUAAAACAGUAGAUAUUCAUAUCCAUGAUUUAUUUAACCACUUAACAACGUACCACAUCCGAACGUUCAGCCAUCUGCGAUCCAGAAUUAUUUUUCAUGUUUGUUUAACGAUUUUGCGCACGACCGCCUACCAAAUGUCAGGUUAAAUGGUUAACCUCAAAAUUUUCCCAAACCCACGUAUCUCCGUACAAGGUAUUGAUAUUGCGUCGCGCUUCAGAGACAAGGUACAGAUUAACAAUAAUGAAAUGUCAAUGAUAAAUUAGUACAAAAGGUAAUAUCCGAAGCGUACAGUGAACAGGGUAUUAAUUCACAACAGAUAAUACUGAUAUAUCGACGACAGAAUAUCUUCCUGCGAAUUACCAUAGAAAUAUCAUACACGGGUUAAGCUGCUAUUUUUAUGCAUAUCGUUGCACCCCGAUAUUUUAUGACUUUGCAUAAAACAUUUUCUACGCUUAUUCAAUUUAAAGGAUCUCAGCGCAUCUAUUGUACCGACAUAUUGUUAGUUAUCAAUCGGAGAGCUUAGCCUUAGUGAAUCUACGACAGAGGGCAAUAGGGAUUAUCGUUGUUCACCUUGUACGUGUUUACAAUCAGCUAACCAGAAAAGUAGACACUUCAUCCAAAGCACUCGUAUACUCUCAUGGACUGUUCGAUAUUCCACUAUCUAGAUAUAUAUACGUAUAUACUAGACACUAUUAUCAAGUAUGUGUACAUAUGCAUAGUUCAGUGUACCUCAGCCUUAGCUAAGUGAGGGUGAGUAUGUAUCUGUAAUCCUUUAUUGAUGGAUGACACUUGAAAAUGGUAACACUUUAGUAAACCUAUCUGAGGCAUAUCAAUAACAAGAUAAAAAAUGGUCAGGAAGUUCCUGAUGAUUACCCUUCAGAGGGAAUGGAAGAAUGAAUGAUAAGUCAAUUGUAUCUGGGUGUCUGAUUGUAUAUGAAGUAUGUAAAUAUUUGCAGGAAGAAGAAGUAUGACGAAGGAGUAUGGCGUUGAAGAGAGAAGAGAAUGGUGGUUCAUGGUGGAUGGAAAAUUCGUCAGGCGAUCAUCCUUCUGGAUUGCGGAAUAACCGUGGGUGGAACACGCAAAGCAAGAUUCCCAACGGAGGAUAAUACGUCGAUAAUGCGGUUGAUGGGGCUGCAAUUUAAACUUGAUUCUGUAAUAUUGAUUGACGUAGGUCGGGACAGGUCGAAACUAGAGAAGACAAGAGAGUUACGAGCCACACCUGGGUACUUUAUAUAGCUCAUAGCUCGUACUUACUGAUAGCUCGGGAGGCUCGUACGUGCCACGAGACAUCGAGCGGGCUUGUGUUUUUCCCGUGGAAACGAGUUCGUAAAGGGGCUUUACGAGUUUCUGUUCUUCGAUCGUGUUUCCUUGAGCGGAGGAAAAAAAUGGCACAGAUACCGUCGUCUUUGCUUCAUGUAUAUACCUUGAAGAGAUUGAGCAUUCUGAUAAGUCAGAAUAGCUAAAAGCAGUAUUCGAAGAAACGUCCCGUGUCUAAUUUGACACCAUUCUUGGCUGCAGAUAUCGAAUGGGUCUUUGGGCGUCUGUGGGCCACACCUGAGAAAACGUUGGCGUUCACAUGGCAGCCGUUUGUGCUAGUACCGCGUUCUGCUGAGCUUGCACGAAUUACUGUUGUACGAUAAGAAUAUUUUGCUCGUUGAGUUUCGAUAUUGUAUUGCGUAGUUAACUUUAAAUGGUGAAUUUACUAUUGAGGUCGAGGUGAUGGAAACUGUGGCACAGUGGAAAAAUUUGACUGCGCACUGCGACCUCUGCAUCGAACGAGUUUUCCCAAUUGCGAACUUGGUUAAACGCCUAAUUAACGUUGUGUUAGCCUUUAGCGUUACCGAUAAUUUUGCAAUAUUCUGCAGUAUCGAUCCUGGUAAAUUAAUAUCGCGAAGGGCUUAAAGACCAAGGGAGGUGUGUGUGAGGAUCCGGACGUGACUUAAAAUUGAGACUCUGGUGUCAUCAACUAGCGUGGAUAAAGUAGGUGAACUGUUAGACGCUGAACUACACUACGUCGUCUCGAUAUGCCGUGCGCCUUUUUUCACGCAGGGAAGAAAACAAGGGUGGAAGUUUGUCUAGGAGAAGCUCGGGACAUCAGGACGAUGAUGAUGGCGAAAGAGAGCCUAGCGGGGCUCGAGUAAAUUCAACGCAUUUUGCGAUAUCGAUUGACCGAGGUUAGGCCCGGCAGCUUUAGGUCUCGUUGUCAGGAGGAUCGUCCCUGGGAGAGUCACAAAACCACGAGGAAGAACACCAGGAGGUCGCUAUUACCAAAUGACAAACCUUGAGGAAGUAGGACGCACCAUAAGAACAGCAAGCAUAGGAGUGUUUCGGAUGAUCAGAAUAAAAAGAAAGAUAAAAUAUCCAAAAGCACUCCUCAGGAGUGACCGAACGCAAUACGCAUCCUGGGACUAUGCCCAGAUUUUGAACUCACCGUCGAACGGAAGGUUAAACUGUUGCAAGGGUCGGUCUAGGAGCUUCCAUGAGG